UACGUAGGGGGCGAGCGUUGUCCGGAUUUAUUGGGCGUAAAGAGCGUGUAGGCGGCCAGGUAGGUCUGCUGUGAAAACUCGAGGCUCAACCUCGAGACGUCGGCGGAAACCAUCUGGCUAGAGUCCGGAAGAGGAGAGUGGAAUUCCUGGUGUAGCGGUGAAAUGCGCAGAUAUCAGGAAGAACACCCGUGGCGAAGGCGGCUCUCUGGGACGGUACUGACGCUGAGACGCGAAAGCAUGGGGAGCGAACAGG
RNAcentral lists this ribosomal RNA (253 nucleotides) under uncultured bacterium. RNAcentral describes it as "partial 16S ribosomal RNA". It matches the Rfam family "Bacterial small subunit ribosomal RNA", at positions 524 to 776 of the family's 1533-position model. The record is from RNAcentral.